CUCGACGUAGCUCAGCUUGGCAGAGCGCCUAGUUCGGGUCCAGGAAGCGUCAGUAAGUGGCCUGUCGUCAGGCCAUCAAAUCUGGCCGUCGAGACCA
This 97-nucleotide transfer RNA is filed under the name Planctomycetota bacterium. RNAcentral's name for it is "Planctomycetes bacterium (soil metagenome) tRNA-Pro". It matches the Rfam family "tRNA". Rfam says of the family: Transfer RNA (tRNA) molecules are approximately 80 nucleotides in length. Their secondary structure includes four short double-helical elements and three loops (D, anti-codon, and T loops). Lineage: Bacteria; Pseudomonadati; Planctomycetota. The record is from RNAcentral.